AUACGGAGGGUGCAAGCGUUAAUCGGAAUUACUGGGCGUAAAGCGCGCGUAGGCGGUUUUGCAAGUCGGAUGUGAAAGCCCAGGGCUCAACCUUGGAAUUGCAUUCGAAACUGCUUGACUAGAGUAUGGUAGAGGGAAGUGGAAUUUCCGGUGUAGCGGUGAAAUGCGUAGAUAUCGGAAGGAACACCAGUGGCGAAGGCGGCUGUCUGGACCAGUUCUGACGCUGAGGUGCGAAAGCGUGGGGAGCAAACAGGAUUAGAAACCCGGGUAGUCC
This 274-nucleotide ribosomal RNA is filed under the name uncultured bacterium. RNAcentral's name for it is "partial 16S ribosomal RNA". It matches the Rfam family "Bacterial small subunit ribosomal RNA", at positions 523 to 796 of the family's 1533-position model. The record is from RNAcentral.